RNAcentral lists this ribosomal RNA (253 nucleotides) under uncultured bacterium. RNAcentral describes it as "partial 16S ribosomal RNA". It matches the Rfam family "Bacterial small subunit ribosomal RNA", at positions 524 to 776 of the family's 1533-position model. The record is from RNAcentral.
GACGGAGGGUGCAAGCGUUAUUCGGAAUCAUUGGGCGUAAAGAGCGUGUAGGCGGCCGGUUAAGUCAGGUGUGAAAGCCCGGGGCUCAACCUCGGAAGUGCACUUGAAACUGGUCGGCUUGAGUUCGGGAGAGGGAAGCGGAAUUCCUGGUGUAGAGGUGAAAUUCGUAGAUAUCAGGAGGAACACCGGUGGCGAAGGCGGCUUCCUGGACCGAAACUGACGCUGAGACGCGACAGCGUGGGGAGCAAACCGG